This is a long non-coding RNA of Anopheles gambiae (African malaria mosquito), 3124 nucleotides long. RefSeq lists it as uncharacterized. The transcript has 3 exons. The record is from RefSeq and is a predicted model, not a curated record. NCBI's taxonomy places the organism in Eukaryota, Metazoa, Arthropoda, Insecta, Diptera, Culicidae.
UCGCAGUACUGGAUUAAACGUGUUCAGGCGGGACUGGGCCCAUAACCUAUUGAGCGUAUGCGAGCGCAGUAAACACAACCGUUGCUGUCGAUUGCCAAUGCUCAACUGAGGUUUUUAUUCUAGAUUCUAGUUCAAGGUAUUUACAAGUGUACAGUUGUAUAUGUGAAUAUAUUAAGCACGGUUUCUACGUAUUGAAUUGGUAUCUCAACAGGUUGUACCAAUUAUGGACGUACAGAAAAAAGGAAUAUUUUCGAUGAAAUUUUGGUAAAUUUUGAUGUGUUGUCGUUAAAAACUAAUAUUUUGCACCAAAAUGAUGAUUUUGAGAUAAAAUUAUGGUUAGGUGCUUGAAAAUCGCUAAUAUCCUACAGUGCUGCUCUUAGCAAAAUGGUAAGAGAUACCAAAAAUCUUGGAAACACAUUUUAAAAGAGUGAUAUAUAACAAACGGAAGUGAACAGCAUCGAACUAAUGAAGCAAAAAUGUGUUAAAAUGUUCAUAAUUGAAAUGAAAAAUCCUUUCAUGGUUUUAGAAUGCAAAUAGACUGUUUUAGGGCGGAAAUAGUGUUCGUUAUAGCCAUAAUUGGUGCUAUAGCCACAAUUGGUACACUUACCCUAUAUAUAUUUUUUAAAUAUGCCGAAAUCUGUCAGGAGUUUUCGGGUCUCAACACACACACACAUAGCGCGGGGAAAGUGACCGUUCGCUGUAUCAUGUCGCGAUCCCCCACCCCGCCCGGCGCUUUGAAUGAGGAUGCGCUACAAGAUAGCUGAACCAGACUUUCUUCCGAUAAGGUAGGCGCAAUCGAUCAUGCGGGGGGGGGGGGGGAUUGGUGGUGGGUGCGCGCUUUCGUGGGUGUGUGCUCGCGUGCGCGCGUACAUGCAUUUGUGCGUACGUGCAUGUGUCCGUGCGUGGGUGCGUGCGUGUGUUCGUGCGUGUGGAAACCCCAAAACUGUUUGAUUCUCUUGCGUACAUUUUCAUACGCUGCGGCUACAAAGUCCAUGCAUUUUCAAUCUCGCUACCAGAGAGACAACACAACCAUUGGAUUGGCACCCAAGGUUAUUAGACUCUAUACAGGCUACGACAAAACCCCGUUUAGACAUAUCUUCAAUAAAAAAAUGAAUUAAAAUUUUGACAGACAAAUUGGAAAGUUUGUUUACCUACAAAUUGCAAUCUUUCCGAACAUACAGCUAUCGCAAUUGAUGAGUGCUUAAAUACUACCUUUUUUCUGCGUUUCAAUUUUCGUUUUUGUGCUUUUUUAGUUUACGGCUAGCUGAGUUUAUUUAAGGAAUUAGGUUUAUCUAAGCUAAGUAAUUCAUUAAAUAGCUAUAAAUUACGAAACAAAGCAGCGAAAUAUGUCGUCCAACUACAAGUGUUGUGUAGCAUCUUGUAAAAAUAAUAGAUAUAAUGUAAAGAAAGUUGGUGUCAAUAUAUGCUUCCAUAAAUUCCCAGAAGAGAAAGAUACCAAACAAAAAUGGAUAGCCUUUUUGCCAAAGGAAAAUAUCGUGGAUACCUUCCUCAAGUAACGUGCUGUCCCAUCUAUCCUGUUACCGCAAGACACUGUUUUGAAUUUGUCGCAGUUCAAUGAACAUCAGCAGAAUAAUAACAAUGAUGAAUCUUCCCGGCCGGAACUGCAAGGUGCCACUUCAUCUCAUCUCUUACCGGACGAAAAUGAUUUAAGAUUAAUUGAAAAAGAGAACGUUUGCAAGAAAUGUAAGGGAUUAGAAUAAAACAAUUUUAAUUUAGAAGCAAAACUUAAUGAAUUAGAAGAAUGCAACAUGCAACUGGCCACUAUAAAUAACAAAUUAAGUGAUACACUGAAGGAAGUAAACGAAAAAGAAAAGGAACAACUGAAAAAGCUAGAAGAACUUGAUUAGGCUACAAAAAAUUAAAGAAGAAUGGCCACGCGCUAAUUUUGUGCAGAACAUGAAAGAUUCGCUUAAGGCUUCGCUAUCAUCAAAUCAAAUUGAUCUUAUUUUAGGAAUUAAGAAGACUGUUCGAUGGACAAAAGAAGAACUUUCCUUAGCAUUUACUCUUAGAUAUUUUAACCAAAGGGCAUACCGUUACAUAGGCGGUGAUAUGAAGAUACCAGUACCGUUACCAAGAACUUUACAACGAUAUUCUUGCAAGAUUGAUCUAAAACAAGGCAUUCUGGAAGAUAUAUUGAAAUUCAUGUGAAGUAAGGAAAAGAGAUAGCGAUAUCGUGGCGAGCGCCGAUUGAGCGAAGGAGGGAAUUUAAGCGGCGCGCGCUGCUGGGUCAGGAGGUCAGUUGAACGCGAAAUGUCGAAGGUGGAGGACGUGCGAAUUGGAGAAAAAUAAAGUGAACUGAACGAAAGCCACCCAUCUGCUUCUUUUGGCGUUAAACUGAUUUCUCACAUUCAUUGGAUCAUAUUCACAAACAUUAAAGCCAAUGGAUCGAGAAUAUGUUUUAUCGUUCGACGAGAUGAAGGUGUCUCGGGUAUUAGAAUACGAUCCAUCGGCAGAUGAAAUAGUGGGCCCAUUGAAUUAUCUGCAAGUAGUCAUGAUGCGAAGAUUGUUCAAACAAUGGAAACAGCCGAUAUUUAUCGGCUUUGAUACCAAAAUGACAAAUGAUAUCAUUAUCGAAAUAAUUUCACGAUUGAGCCAAAAAGAUAUAAAUGUAGUCGCAAUCAUUGCCAAACAAACAUUGGAUGCUGGAAGGAGCUAGGCGCGCGGGAUGACGUAGAAAACCCUAAUUUUCCACAUCCAAAAACUAAUAAGAAUGUGUAUGUGAUCCCGGAUACACCUCAUUUGCUGAAGUUGUUGAGGAAUUGGCUUCUAGAUCAUGGUUUUAAGUACAACGGCCAACUAAUCGAAACCACUAAUCUGUUGCGUAUGGUAGCCAAAAGAAUGGCGUGAAAAGAAUAUGGCGUUUUGUUAAUAAACGAAUUUUAAAAUAGCACAAGUACAAUCGCGUCGUUAUUGAAACGGUAUUUACGGUUGUCGAGGAGCCGACAAGUUGCGUUCGCAACAUUUUUUAAAAAACGCGCAUAGUUCGUGAAUACGUCGCGUAAUCAAAUUGCCAACGGUAAGACAUCGUUACAGUGUCGCGUGUGCAAAGUGAAGCUUGCAGAAUGUCCCGUACACCGAUCCCGCAUCAAGGAGAGCCUCUUCG